AGCAGUGGGGAAUUUUGGACAAUGGGGGCAACCCUGAUCCAGCCAUGCCGCGUGAGUGAAGAAGGCCUUCGGGUUGUAAGCUCUUUCGGCCGGGACGAAAUCGCACGGGCUAAUAUCCUGUGUGGAUGACGGUACCGGAAUAAGAAGCACCGGCUAACUACGUGCCAGCAGCCGCGGUAAUACGUAGGGUGCGAGCGUUAAUCGGAAUUACUGGGCGUAAAGCGUGCGCAGGCGGUUUGAUAAGACAGGCGUGAAAUCCCCGGGCUUAACCUGGGAACUGCGCUUGUGACUGUCUCACUAGAGUACGGCAGAGGGGGGUGGAAUUCCACGUGUAGCAGUGAAAUGCGUAGAGAUGUGGAGGAACACCGAUGGCGAAGGCAGCCCCCUGGGCCGAUACUGACGCUCAUGCACGAAAGCGUGGGGAGCAAACAGGAUUAGAUACCCUGGUAGUCCACGCCCUAAACGAUGUCAACUAGGUGUUGGGUGGGUAAAAACCAUUUAGUACCGGAGCUAACGCGUGAAGUUGACCGCC
Molecule: ribosomal RNA, 532 nt
Filed under: uncultured bacterium
Lineage: Bacteria
Description: bacterial SSU rRNA
Rfam family: Bacterial small subunit ribosomal RNA
Source: RNAcentral